GUUCCUGUAGCGUACUGAAUAGCGCGUUGGACUUCUAAUCCAAAGGUCGUGGGUUGGAACUCCACCUGUGAUG
RNAcentral lists this transfer RNA (73 nucleotides) under Trichonephila clavata. It matches the Rfam family "tRNA". From Rfam's summary of the family: Transfer RNA (tRNA) molecules are approximately 80 nucleotides in length. Their secondary structure includes four short double-helical elements and three loops (D, anti-codon, and T loops). The record is from Rfam by way of RNAcentral. Lineage: Eukaryota; Metazoa; Arthropoda; Arachnida; Araneae; Nephilidae.